CAUCCUGGCGGCGAGUGGCGAACGGGUGAGUAAUACAUCGGAACGUGCCCAAUCGUGGGGGAUAACGCAGCGAAAGCUGUGCUAAUACCGCAUACGAUCUACGGAUGAAAGCAGGGGAUCGCAAGACCUUGCGCGAAUGGAGCGGCCGAUGGCAGAUUAGGUAGUUGGUGAGGUAAAGGCUCACCAAGCCUUCGAUCUGUAGCUGGUCUGAGAGGACGACCAGCCACACUGGGACUGAGACACGGCCCAGACUCCUACGGGAGGCAGCAGUGGGGAAUUUUGGACAAUGGGCGAAAGCCUGAUCCAGCCAUGCCGCGUGCAGGAUGAAGGCCUUCGGGUUGUAAACUGCUUUUGUACGGAACGAAACGGUCUUUUCUAAUACAGAAGGCUAAUGACGGUACCGUAAGAAUAAGCACCGGCUAACUACGUGCCAGCAGCCGCGGUAAUACGUAGGGUGCAAGCGUUAAUCGGAAUUACUGGGCGUAAAGCGUGCGCAGGCGGUUAUGUAAGACAGUUGUGAAAUCCCCGGGCUCAACCUGGGAACUGCAUCUGUGACUGCAUAGCUAGAGUACGGUAGAGGGGGAUGGAAUUCCGCGUGUAGCAGUGAAAUGCGUAGAUAUGCGGAGGAACACCGAUGGCGAAGGCAAUCCCCUGGACCUGUACUGACGCUCAUGCAC
This 677-nucleotide ribosomal RNA is filed under the name Variovorax sp. EECC-33. RNAcentral describes it as "bacterial SSU rRNA". It matches the Rfam family "Bacterial small subunit ribosomal RNA", at positions 81 to 754 of the family's 1533-position model. The record is from RNAcentral. Lineage: Bacteria; Pseudomonadati; Pseudomonadota; Betaproteobacteria; Burkholderiales; Comamonadaceae.